UAACUUAGUGGCGGACGGGUGAGUAACGCGUGGGUAACCUGCCGUAUACAGGGGGAUAACACUUAGAAAUAGGUGCUAAUACCGCAUAAGCGCACGGUUCCGCAUGGGACAGUGUGAAAAACCGAGGUGGUAUACGAUGGACCCGCGUCUGAUUAGCCAGUUGGCAGGGUAACGGCCUACCAAAGCGACGAUCAGUAGCCGGCCUGAGAGGGCGGACGGCCACAUUGGGACUGAGACACGGCCCAAACUCCUACGGGAGGCAGCAG
This 266-nucleotide ribosomal RNA is filed under the name uncultured bacterium. RNAcentral's name for it is "partial 16S ribosomal RNA". It matches the Rfam family "Bacterial small subunit ribosomal RNA", at positions 88 to 354 of the family's 1533-position model. The record is from RNAcentral.